CCUAUGGGCGGCAGCAGUGAGGAAUAUUGGUCAAUGGCCGGAAGGCUGAACCAGCCAAGCCGCGUGAGGGAGGAAGGCGCAGAGCGUCGCAGACCUCUUUUGCCGGGGGACAAAAGGCCGGACUCGUCCGGUCCUGAGGGUACCCGGAGACAAAGCAUCGGCUAACUCCGUGCCAGCAGCCGCGGUAAUCGGGAGGAUGCGAGCGUUAUCCGGAUUCAUUGGGUUUAAAGGGUGCGCAGGCGGUCUGUUAAGUCAGCGGUAAAAGCCCGGGGCUCAACCCCGGCCCGCCGUUGAAACUGGCAGUCUCGAGUUGGAGAGAAGUAUGCGGAAUGCGCGGUGUAGCGGUGAAAUGCAUAGAUAUCGCGCAGAACUCCGAUUGCGAAGGCAGCAUGCCGGCUCCACACUGACGCUGAGGCACGAAAGCGUGGGUAUCGAACAGGAUUAGAUACCCGAGUAGUC
This 459-nucleotide ribosomal RNA is filed under the name uncultured bacterium. RNAcentral describes it as "partial 16S ribosomal RNA". It matches the Rfam family "Bacterial small subunit ribosomal RNA", at positions 338 to 795 of the family's 1533-position model. The record is from RNAcentral.